This 253-nucleotide ribosomal RNA is filed under the name uncultured bacterium. RNAcentral describes it as "partial 16S ribosomal RNA". It matches the Rfam family "Bacterial small subunit ribosomal RNA", at positions 524 to 776 of the family's 1533-position model. The record is from RNAcentral.
UACGUAGGGUGCGAGCGUUAAUCGGAAUUACUGGGCGUAAAGCGUGCGCAGGCGGUGGCUCCAGUCAGGUGUGAAAUCCCCAGGCUUAACCUGGGAAUUGCAUUUGAAACUAGGCCGCUAGAGUUUGGCAGAGGGGGGUGGAAUUCCACGUGUAGCAGUGAAAUGCGUAGAGAUGUGGAGGAACACCGAUGGCGAAGGCAGCCCCCUGGGCUAAAACUGACGCUCAUGCACGAAAGCGUGGGGAGCAAACAGG